ACUCCUACGGGAGGCAGCAGUGGGGAAUCUUGGACAAUGGGCGCAAGCCUGAUCCAGCCAUGCCGCGUGAGUGAUGAAGGCCUUAGGGUCGUAAAGCUCUUUCGCCAGGGAUGAUAAUGACAGUACCUGGUAAAGAAACCCCGGCUAACUCCGUGCCAGCAGCCGCGGUAAUACGGAGGGGUUAGCGUUGUUCGGAAUUACUGGGCGUAAAGCGCGCGUAGGCGGAUCGGAAAGUUGGGGUGAAUCCCGGGCUCAACCCGGAACUGCCUCCAAAACUAUCGGUCUAGAGUUCGAGAGAGGUGAGUGGAAUUCCGAGUGUAGAGGUGAAAUUCGUAGAUAUUCGGAGGAACACCAGUGGCGAAGGCGGCUCACUGGCUCGAUACUGACGCUGAGGUGCGAAAGUGUGGGAGCAAACAGGAUUAGAUACCCUGGUAGGAUAGCG
RNAcentral lists this ribosomal RNA (442 nucleotides) under uncultured bacterium. RNAcentral describes it as "bacterial SSU rRNA". It matches the Rfam family "Bacterial small subunit ribosomal RNA", at positions 335 to 799 of the family's 1533-position model. The record is from RNAcentral.